RNAcentral lists this long non-coding RNA (628 nucleotides) under Nicotiana benthamiana. RNAcentral's name for it is "long non-coding RNA (NBEN_LNC009445)". The record is from RNAcentral. Lineage: Eukaryota; Viridiplantae; Streptophyta; Magnoliopsida; Solanales; Solanaceae.
UUGAUGAUACAGCAGCAUUCGGGCUCCGUUCUCAGAUUUAUGUUCAAAACACGUAUAGUACAUACAAAGAUGAUUUAGGCUACUUAUGUAGUAAACGAAUAAGAACAGAGAUACUGAAUUUACAAUAUUCCUGAAGGAAGUUAUUUAUACACACUAUUUAAAUGUUUUUCUUCUUAUUUUAUGCUGGCUCCCCCCCAGACCCCACUUUGUGGGCGUAUACUGCGUAGUUGUUAAUAUUCCUGAAUCAAGUUAUUUAUACACAACCAUUCAAAUGUUUUUCUUCAUAUUUUAUGCUGGCUCCGCUUCUGCAUAUAGCGACUUCAAUUUGUUUGAUUUUAGACAUUAUAGUAGUUGUUGUCCUUAAUUUAAUUGCUUACAAGUUACAAUUGAGUCAUUUUAACAAAACCAUUCAACUGUUAGAAUUUGGAACGACGAUGGUUAACUUCACUUGGAUUUAACUCACGAAAUAAAUGGACGACAUGGCACAAUCUGAAACUAUUACCGACGGAAGAACAUAUUUUUGGAUAAUUAAAGAUUUUUACUCGUAUUAAGGAAGAACUAUUACAGAAAAAUUCUUCCCAGGGUUGAUGUUUGCUUCAAUAAUACUACUACUAUUACUUUAUUACAG